UAGAACCCCACCUACCACACAUCACAUGAA
RNAcentral lists this non-coding RNA (30 nucleotides) under Mus musculus (house mouse). Lineage: Eukaryota; Metazoa; Chordata; Mammalia; Rodentia; Muridae. The record is from RNAcentral.